AGGAAGGAGACGUAAGGGAAUAAAUGUGCAACUCAAAGCUUCAAUAUCUGUCUUAUCAUGGUAAGAAAGAUGCAAUAAAACAAUGGGCUGCGGGUCAUAAAGACAUGUAUCGACGAACAUUUAUUUAUAGAAAGCAAACUGUUCCAUAUCUGUAGGCUUAACGGCACGAGCAUAAGCCUCUUCAAUGUCGCUUUGAAGGAUGACGCCACGACUCUUUCGCACAGCUAAAAGACCUGCAUCUUGCAUGAUGGCAGCAAUUUGAGCACCACUAGAUGCAUCUGGUCGCAUAAUAAAUGUAUCCAAGUCAACCUCGGGAGAAAGCAACAUUUUAGCUGUGAUGGUUUGGAAAACAAGUCGACGUUGGCGACGAUCGCGGUAGGAAGGAAAUUCAAUUUUUCGAUCUAAACGGCCAGGACGAAGAAGAGCAGGAUCUAGAGUGUCGGCACGAUUAGUAGCCAUGAUUACUUUAACAUUAGCACCUUGAUCAAAACCAUCCAUCUGGGUUAAAAGUUCAAUCAAAAUACGUUGGACUUCACGAUCAGCACCGGUUUGGGCAUCAAAACGCUUUGUAGCAAUAGCAUCAAUUUCAUCAAUAAAAAUAAUAGCAGGAGCAUUUUCACGUGCCAUUCUAAAUACAUCUCGAACCAUACGUGGACCCUCACCAAGGUAUUUUUGAACAAAUUCAGAUCCAACAACACGAAUAAAGUUGGCAGCUGUUGAGUUGGCCACAGCUUUUACAAGCAUUGUUUUACCGGUACCUGGAGGACCGUAAAGUAAAACGCCUCUAGGAGGAUCAAUACCAAUCUGACGAUAAAGAUCGCCUUGUGUUAGAGGUAAUUCAACGGCUUCACGAACUUCUUGCUUUUGAACAUCUAAACCACCAACAUCAGCAUAAGAAACAUCAGGUCUUUCAUCUGGACGAAGCAUAGAAAUAGAUGAAUCUGCUUCUGGUGGUAAAAUGUCGACUAAAGCGUUUGAGUGUCGUUGAAGAGCGACACUUGCUGAAGGUUUUAAAAGCUCUCGAUCAAGUGUACUUAAAAUACGAACGACAUAAUUAGAUCCAGUUGUACUUCCUACAAUAGCAGUAUUUUGAUCAAUG
Schizosaccharomyces pombe (fission yeast) is the source of this 1099-nucleotide non-coding RNA. The record is from the annotation of a GenBank genome assembly. NCBI's taxonomy places the organism in Eukaryota, Fungi, Ascomycota, Schizosaccharomycetes, Schizosaccharomycetales, Schizosaccharomycetaceae.